Molecule: ribosomal RNA, 253 nt
Filed under: uncultured prokaryote
Description: partial 16S ribosomal RNA
Rfam family: Bacterial small subunit ribosomal RNA
Source: RNAcentral
GACAGAGGGGGCAAGCGUUGCGCGGAAUUACUGGGCGUAAAGGGCGCGUAGGCGGGAUGGCAAGUCGGUCGUGAAAUCCUUCGGCUCAACCGAAGAACGUCGAUCGAUACUGCUGUUCUUGAGGGUUGCAGAGGAGACUGGAAUUCCCGGUGUAGCGGUGAAAUGUGUAGAGAUCGGGAGGAAGGCCGGUGGCGAAGGCGGCGCUCUGGAACGUUUCUGACGCUGAGGCUCGAAAGCGUGGGGAGCAAACAGG